GACGAACGCUGGCGACGUGCUUAACACAUGCAAGUCGAACGGAAAGGCCUCUUUCGGGGGGUACUCGAGUGGCGAACGGGUGAGUAACACGUGAGUAACCUGCCCUUCACUUUGGGAUAACUUCAGGAAACUGGGGCUAAUACCGGAUAGGAGCUCCUGCUGCAUGGUGGGGGUUGGAAAGUUUCGGCGGUUGGGGAUGGACUCGCGGCUUAUCAGCUUGUUGGUGGGGUAGUGGCUUACCAAGGCCUUGACGGGUAGCCGGCCUGAGAGGGUGAGCGGCCACAUUGGGACUGAGAUACGGCCCAGACUCCUACGGGGGGCAGCAGUGGGGAAUAUUGCACAAUGGGUGGAAGCCUGAUGCAGCAACGCCGUGGGCGGGAUGACGGCCUUCGGGUUGUAAACCGCUUUCGCUCAUGACGAAGCUUUGUGUGACGGUAGUGGGUAAAGAAGCACCGGCUAACUACGUG
Molecule: ribosomal RNA, 467 nt
Filed under: uncultured bacterium
Lineage: Bacteria
Description: partial 16S ribosomal RNA
Rfam family: Bacterial small subunit ribosomal RNA
Source: RNAcentral